ACAAAUUCAUAAAAAAAUAUUGUCUCCCAACACCCAAUUUUUUUCCAAACACCAUCCAAACCUUGAUUUAUGUCAGAUACACUAACAGUUUUGUUUUCGAGCUUUCAAAUAUGGAAUUCGGGUAGCAUAAUAGAAAAUCCUUGAGCCCACACACUAAAGAUAUAUAAAUAAACAAUGAGCAGAACCAGAUUACGAGUUCACAUCAAGAUUUCCUCUCAGAUCCAAAAAUGAUAUAUUUCUUGAAGUACGAAAUUGUUCAAAUCAAAAAAUCGAUAUCAAUAUCAAAUUUAAAAUUUGAAGUGCGAUUGAGUACCUUAAUAGAUUGAAUCCUGUGAAUGCGUCAAAGUAAAUUUCUUUCCGACAAAUAGAUGCAGGAAAACCCUAAUCUCUCUCUCUCCCUCCCUCUCUCUAUCUGGUCAGCUUACCAUUUGUGUUUGAUUUGUU
RNAcentral lists this long non-coding RNA (444 nucleotides) under Panax ginseng (ginseng). Its description in RNAcentral is "long non-coding RNA (PGIN_LNC015497)". Lineage: Eukaryota; Viridiplantae; Streptophyta; Magnoliopsida; Apiales; Araliaceae. The record is from RNAcentral.